GUGUGUGAAGAAGGCCUUAUGGUUGUAAAGCACUUAAUGCGAGGAGGACUGCUACUUAGAUUCAAUACCUAGAGGAUAGUGGACGUUACUCGCAGAAUAAGCAGCCAGGCUAACUCUGUGCCAGCAGCCGCGGUAAUACAGAGGGUGCAAGCGUUAAUCGGAUUUACUGGGCGUAAAGCGCGCGUAGGCGGCUAAUUAAGUCAAAUGUGAAAUCCCCGAGCUUAACUUGGGAAUUGCAUUCGAUACUGGUUAGCUAGAGUGUGGGAGAGGAUGGUAGAAUUCCAGGUGUAGCGGUGAAAUGCGUAGAGAUCUGGAGGAAUACCGAUGGCGAAGGCAGCCAUCUGGCCUAACACUGACGCUGAGGUGCGAAAGCAUGGGGAGCAAACAGGAUUAGAUACCCUGGUAGUCCAUGCCGUAAACGAUGUCUACUAGCCGUCGGGGCCUUUGAGGCUUUAGUGGCGCAGCUAACGCGAUAAGUAGACCGCCUGGGGAGUACGGUCGCAAGACUAAAACUCACAUGCAAUUGACGGGGGCCCGCACAAGCGGUGGAGCAUGUGGUUUC
RNAcentral lists this ribosomal RNA (562 nucleotides) under uncultured bacterium. Its description in RNAcentral is "bacterial SSU rRNA". It matches the Rfam family "Bacterial small subunit ribosomal RNA", at positions 401 to 948 of the family's 1533-position model. The record is from RNAcentral.